UUCAUUUGCACUCCCUGUGGUCCCAGGUGGCAGAAAUGAGGAUGAAGCCAAGUGUUUGGAGUUCUUGCGAAGAAAAGAUACAACAGCCACACAAGGUAUUAUUAACUUUAUUACUUGUCAGGAAGAGGUGGGGGAAGCAGUUAAGAUUCGGCUAGAUGAGAGGUGAGUGUACUGCAUUACAAUCUCUGGAGGGUGUGGUGGGCAUAUGAGCUGGAAAUGACCAUUAUUUAUUUACUACUUUUGUUAAGUGCCUGUAAUGUGCUGGGUGCUAUGCUGGAUGUGUGUGUAACACAGACACAUAAACCAUUCAGGGUCAACCUUGCGUGGGUGGGAGGAGGUUAAAAGCACUUGCAUCUUCUUCUCCCUGAAAACAGAAACAUCUUCCUCCUUGGCCUACCAUGGUGCCAGCAAUCUCCAGCAUUAGCGAUGGCUCCUUGGGGGUAACCUGCAGAAGCUUCUUAACUGGGUUAAGGCAUCUUAUUACCUUGCAGGAGUAAGGCAAUCGCCAGCUCACUGAUAGUACACAAUGAUUUCGCUCAUUCCAUCCACUCUUGGCCAUUGGUGCAGCAGGAAGGGCCUUGGGGUCCUCCAGUUUGG
This 597-nucleotide long non-coding RNA is filed under the name Pan troglodytes (chimpanzee). RNAcentral's name for it is "lincRNA". Lineage: Eukaryota; Metazoa; Chordata; Mammalia; Primates; Hominidae. The record is from RNAcentral.